CCUACGGGAGGCAGCAGUGAGGAAUAUUGGUCAAUGGUCGGGAGACUGAACCAGCCAAGCCGCGUGAGGGAUGAAGGUACAGUGUAUCGUAAACCUCUUUUGUCAGGGAACAAAGGCGGGGACGUGUCCCCGGAUGAGUGUACCUGAAGAAAAAGCAUCGGCUAACUCCGUGCCAGCAGCCGCGGUAAUACGGAGGAUGCGAGCGUUAUACGGAUUUAUUGGGUUUAAAGGGUGCGCAGGCGGUCUGUUAAGUCAGCGGUAAAAGCCCGGGGCUCAACCCCGGCCCGCCGUUGAAACUGGCAGUCUCGAGUUGGAGAGAAGUAUGCGGAAUGCGCGGUGUAGCGGUGAAAUGCAUAGAUAUCGCGCAGAACUCCGAUUGCGAAGGCAGCAUGCCGGCUCCACACUGACGCUGAGGCACGAAAGCGUGGGUAUCGAACAGGAUUAGAUACCCCAGUAGUC
This 459-nucleotide ribosomal RNA is filed under the name uncultured bacterium. Its description in RNAcentral is "partial 16S ribosomal RNA". It matches the Rfam family "Bacterial small subunit ribosomal RNA", at positions 338 to 795 of the family's 1533-position model. The record is from RNAcentral.